UUCUCGGUGAAAGUAAACGGUUCGCGGUGAAACUUUCCCUCUCGUCCCGCGGUCUCCUCCCUUCGCCGUGUUCUUGUCUCGUUCUCGGGGAACCUUUUAACUUCAAGAUCGACCGAGACCAACUAAUUCUUCUCCUCGUUGAAUUAUUCUGUCGAUCAUAACUUAAGGCAAUAAACGUUGCAGCGUUGUACAGCGGCAUGUAGAUUAUCGACCAACUGUGACAUUCAUGAUAAAAAAAACUAAACCAUCAGAGUGGUGACGAUCGUCUAACUGAACACGUUUUUUCCGCAUUCAUCUAGAAGCUUCUUGUCGAGUGAGUCAAUCAAAUGCGACCUUUCAGUUCCUUUUAGCUGAACAUGUAAGUGGGCCAGAUUUAUAUAAAAUAACAAUACUCUUCCUUUUUUUUUUUUUGUUAAUGACAGUUUUAUGAAUAAAAAAACUGCAUUAAAUCUCGCAGCCGCCACUCUGAGUGACGUCAUCGUCUCUGACAUUCAACAGGAGCACCUCCUCGCCUCCUGUCACACACUGUGGAACAUCAAGGCGUCCGGAAGAUGGAGAUGUGAGAAUGAGGAGAGGGGUGUAGGGUGAUGUGGGGUGUGUGUGGGGGUGAUGUGAAGCGUGUGGGGGGAGUGUGGGGGGAGUGUGGGGGGGUAAAGCACUCCUCUCAUUUCUCUGGGGAUCAGCCUCUUUUAGCCACAGCAGCAGGAAGCAGCAGCGGAUUCUGUAAAACGAGGCAACAAAACACGAAAACACGUCUAGAAAUGAAAAAAAAAUUGGUUGUGCGUGUGUGCGUGCAUGUGUGUGUGUGUGUGUGUGCUGUAAGAGGAGCUGUGGGAGGAGGGGAGGGAUGGAUAGAUGGCUCCUUACUCAUCAAUGACCACCACAGAAAUAGCCAGCAGGCCGACACAUUGCAGCGACACCUUCAGAGUCUGUGUGACAUUGUGUGCAGGAUGAACACGUGUGUGAGUGUGUGUGUGUGUGUGUGUGUGUGUGUGUGUGUGUGUGUGUGUCAGUGAGAGGGGAAGAUAAAGACAGACACACUGAGCGAUGAGGUCAUCGUACGGGUGUAAACACACCCGCCCAGGAGAAGUCCGACGAUGAAAGAUCUGAUUUCUUUUUUGUUUCGUCAUUUUCUUUCCCGGUUCAAUUCUCAAUUAUUCUGCUCUGAGAAAG
Molecule: long non-coding RNA, 1173 nt
Organism: Gasterosteus aculeatus aculeatus (three-spined stickleback)
Lineage: Eukaryota; Metazoa; Chordata; Actinopteri; Perciformes; Gasterosteidae
Source: Ensembl